GACGAACGCUGGCGGCGUGCUUAACACAUGCAAGUCGAACGGAAAGGCCCUGCUUUUGUGGGGUGCUCGAGUGGCGAACGGGUGAGUAACACGUGAGUAACCUGCCCUUGACUUUGGGAUAACUUCAGGAAACUGGGGCUAAUACCGGAUAGGAGCUCCUGCUGCAUGGUGGGGGUUGGAAAGUUUCGGCGGUUGGGGAUGGACUCGCGGCUUAUCAGCUUGUUGGUGGGGUAGUGGCUUACCAAGGCUUUGACGGGUAGCCGGCCUGAGGGUGACCGGCCACAUUGGGACUGAGAUACGGCCCAGACUCCUACGGGAGGCAGCAGUGGGGAAUAUUGCACAAUGGGCGGAAGCCUGAUGCAGCAACGCCGCGUGCGGGAUGACGGCCUUCGGGUUGUAAACCGCUUUCGCCUGUGACGAAGCGUGAGUGACGGUAAUGGGUAAAGAAGCACCGGCUAACUACGUG
RNAcentral lists this ribosomal RNA (466 nucleotides) under uncultured bacterium. Its description in RNAcentral is "partial 16S ribosomal RNA". It matches the Rfam family "Bacterial small subunit ribosomal RNA", at positions 28 to 507 of the family's 1533-position model. The record is from RNAcentral.